UGGGGAAUAUUGGGCAAUGGGCGGAAGCCUGACCCAGCGACGCCGCGUGAGGGACGAAGGUCUUCGGAUCGUAAACCUCUUUCGACAGGAAAGAAGUCCCACAUCCUAAUAUGGUGUGGGAUUGACGGUACCUGGAGAAGAAGCCACGGCCAACUCCGUGCCAGCAGCCGCGGUAAUACGGAGGUGGCGAGCGUUACUCGGAUUCAUUGGGUGUAAAGGGCAGGUAGGCGAUCCACCAAGUUAGAAGUGAAAUCCUUUGGCUCAACCAAAGAACUGCUUCUAAAACUGAUGGGAUUGAGGAUAGAAGAGGAGAGCGGAAUUCCCGGUGUAAGGGUGAAAUCUGUAGAUAUCGGGAGGAACACCAGUGGCGAAGGCGGCUCUCUGGUCUAUCCCUGACGCUGAACUGCGAAAGCUAGGGGAGCAAACAGG
RNAcentral lists this ribosomal RNA (429 nucleotides) under uncultured bacterium. Its description in RNAcentral is "partial 16S ribosomal RNA". It matches the Rfam family "Bacterial small subunit ribosomal RNA", at positions 355 to 776 of the family's 1533-position model. The record is from RNAcentral.